UUUGUUAAUGAUAUUAAAAUUAAGGAGUGGAAAUCAUCCAGUUCCGAUAUAAACGUUAAUAUUAAUAGAAAAUGAACAGAUAGAGCACGAAAAAAGAAGAAGAAAUUGAGAAGUCAUCGGAACAAUUUGAUGCCAUGAUCUAUAUUUGCACAGUACAGUGGUACUUCGUACUUCGAACGCUUCAGAGUUCAAACGCCAAAUUCGACUAAAUUUCGCUUCGGAGUUCGAACGUCCUCCUGGAAUGGAAUAACGAGAAGAAUGAAAAUCCCAAAUAAUUACCCUUUAAUUAGGAUUUACAUUAAAUAUUGACAGACUCCAUACAGUUUUAUUUCAAAGGUUCGGAAAUUCCAAUGAAUCCACGUCUUUCAAUGUUGUCUCUUCGAUUCGGGUAAGCCAUCUCCUUUUAUUGAAACUAGAAUUGUUACUCUCCUUUUUUAUAUAACACUGAGUUCCU
Molecule: long non-coding RNA, 454 nt
Filed under: Centruroides sculpturatus (bark scorpion)
Lineage: Eukaryota; Metazoa; Arthropoda; Arachnida; Scorpiones; Buthidae
Description: uncharacterized LOC111627956, transcript variant X1
Source: RNAcentral